RNAcentral lists this ribosomal RNA (253 nucleotides) under uncultured bacterium. Its description in RNAcentral is "partial 16S ribosomal RNA". It matches the Rfam family "Bacterial small subunit ribosomal RNA", at positions 524 to 776 of the family's 1533-position model. The record is from RNAcentral.
UACGGAGGGUGCUAGCGUUGUUCGGAAUUACUGGGCGUAAAGCGCGUGUAGGCGGCCCGCUAAGUCUGAUGUGAAAGCCCGGGGCUCACCCCCGGAAGUGCAUUGGAGACUGGCGGGCUCGAGUCCCGGAGAGGAGGGUGGAAUUCCUGGUGUAGCGGUGAAAUGCGCAGAUAUCAGGAAGAACACCUAUGGCGAAGGCAGCUCUCUGGGACGGUACUGACGCUGAGACGCGAAAGCGUGGGGAGCGAACAGG